RNAcentral lists this ribosomal RNA (579 nucleotides) under uncultured bacterium. RNAcentral describes it as "bacterial SSU rRNA". It matches the Rfam family "Bacterial small subunit ribosomal RNA", at positions 338 to 917 of the family's 1533-position model. The record is from RNAcentral.
CCUACGGGAGGCAGCAGUGAGGAAUAUUGGUCAAUGGAGGCAACUCUGAACCAGCCAUGCCGCGUGAAGGAUGACGGCCCUAUGGGUUGUAAACUUCUUUUAUAGAGGAAGAAACUUAUCUACGUGUAGAUAACUGACGGUACUAUUAGAAUAAGGAUCGGCUAACUCCGUGCCAGCAGCCGCGGUAAUACGGAGGAUCCAAGCGUUAUCCGGAUUCAUUGGGUUUAAAGGGUCCGUAGGCGGGUCUUUAAGUCAGUGGUGAAAGCCGACAGCUCAACUGUCGAACUGCCAUUGAUACUGGAGACCUUGAGUACAAAUGAAGUAGGCGGAAUGAGUCAUGUAGCGGUGAAAUGCAUAGAUAUGACUCAGAACACCGAUUGCGAAGGCAGCUUACUAACAUGUAACUGACGCUGAGGGACGAAAGCGUGGGGAGCGAACAGGAUUAGAUACCCUGGUAGUCCACGCCGUAAACGAUCAUCACUCGCUGUUGGCGAUAUACUGUCAGCGGCCAAGCGAAAGUAUUAAGUGAUGCACCUGGGGAGUACGCCGGCAACGAUGAAACUCAAAGGAAUUGACGGA